This 163-nucleotide ribosomal RNA is filed under the name Stereum rugosum. Its description in RNAcentral is "5.8S ribosomal RNA". It matches the Rfam family "5.8S ribosomal RNA". Rfam says of the family: 5.8S ribosomal RNA (5.8S rRNA) is a component of the large subunit of the eukaryotic ribosome. The record is from RNAcentral. Lineage: Eukaryota; Fungi; Basidiomycota; Agaricomycetes; Russulales; Stereaceae.
CAACUUUCAACAACGGAUCUCUUGGCUCUCGCAUCGAUGAAGAACGCAGCGAAAUGCGAUAAGUAAUGUGAAUUGCAGAAUUCAGUGAAUCGUCGAAUCUUUGAACGCACCUUGCGCCCUUUGGUAUUCCGAAGGGCACACCUGUUUGAGUGUCGUGAAAUUC